This 722-nucleotide long non-coding RNA is filed under the name Mus musculus (house mouse). RNAcentral describes it as "SIX homeobox 3, opposite strand 1". The record is from RNAcentral. Lineage: Eukaryota; Metazoa; Chordata; Mammalia; Rodentia; Muridae.
UCACAGAUGCUGCUCGGGGCCAGCCCUAUACUCCCUCCAGUGCCUGGUCUCCGGUGGACCCGCGGGGCUCUGCAGUUCUCUGGCGGCCGCGCCUUGUAAGCGCUAAGCCGGGAGGAGGGCGCAGGCAGGGCGCACAGCUCUGAGCGCGACCCUACCCGGCUCGGGCCCGCAGCAACCCCGACUGUCCGAGAGCCUCUCCCCAAGCAAGGCUCUGCGCCGCCCUCUGAGCCCACCUCCUGGCCACAACGCUGCCUGCGCUUCUCCAGCCCAGGCCGGAAGCCCUAUGCUGCCUCCCGAAGCCGGACUUUCUGGAAGCCCAUCUUCGUAUGCUCACCAGCCCACCCUCCUACGCUGGUCAGAGUGAGAUUGCUAACCUCAAGACCCCAUUCAAUGCCAGCUUUCAACUACUGCUGAAGACCAAUGUAGGUCCUGGAAUAGAAGAACUGCAGAGUAUCCGGAGCUGGCCGACCCCAGACUGAUUCUCAACAGGUGGCUGGGUAGUGCCCCCCACCCUGUGUUGGUCGUGCGGGACCCAUCGCACACAGAGAAGCCACCUUACCCCUCACCUCACCCCGUCGGCCAAAGACUGACCACCCGCGCCCGAGUGUGGGGAGGGGUGGGAAUUCCGGAUCACACACACACACACACACACACACACACACCAGGGUAGGGGAACAGGGAAGAUCUUACCUGCAGAAAGGUAAGAGAAGCCGGGAGCGUGU